AGAUUGAACGCUGGCGGCAUGCCUUACACAUGCAAGUCGAACGGCAGCACGGGAGCAAUCCUGGUGGCGAGUGGCGAACGGGUGAGUAAUACAUCGGAACGUGCCCAAUCGUGGGGGAUAACGCAGCGAAAGCUGUGCUAAUACCGCAUAAGAUCUACGGAUGAAAGCAGGGGAUCGCAAGACCUUGCGCGAAUGGAGCGGCCGAUGGCAGAUUAGGUAGUUGGUGAGGUAAAAGGCUCACCAAGCCUUCGAUCUGUAGCUGGUCUGAGAGGACGACCAGCCACACUGGGACUGAGACACGGCCCAGACUCCUACGGGAGGCAGCAGUGGGGAAUUUUGGACAAGUGGGCGAAAGCCUGAUCCAGCCAUGCCGCGUGCGAGGAUGAAGGCCUUCGGUUAGUAAACGUGCUUUUAGUACGGUAACGAAAAGU
This 431-nucleotide ribosomal RNA is filed under the name uncultured soil bacterium. RNAcentral's name for it is "bacterial SSU rRNA". It matches the Rfam family "Bacterial small subunit ribosomal RNA", at positions 26 to 454 of the family's 1533-position model. The record is from RNAcentral.